UGUGACUGCGUACCUUUUGUAUAAUGGGUCAGCGACUUAUAUUCUGUAGCAAGGUUAACCGUAUAGGGGAGCCGUAGGGAAACCGAGUCUUAACCGGGCGUUAAGUUGCAGGGUAUAGACCCGAAACCCGGUGAUCUAGCCAUGGGCAGGUUGAAGGUUGGGUAACACUAACUGGAGGACCGAACCGACUAAUGUUGAAAAAUUAGCGGAUGACCUGUGGCUGGGGGUGAAAGGCCAAUCAAACCGGGAGAUAGCUGGUUCUCCCCGAAAGCUAUUUAGGUAGCGCCUCGUGAAUUCAUCUCCGGGGGUAGAGCACUGUUUCGGCUAGGGGGCCAUCCCGGCUUACCAACCCGAUGCAAACUGCGAAUACCGGAGAAUGUUAUCACGGGAGACACACGGCGGGUGCUAACGUCCGUCGUGAAGAGGGAAACAACCCAGACCGCCAGCUAAGGUCCCAAAGUCAUGGUUAAGUGGGAAACGAUGUGGGAAGGCCCAGACAGCCAGGAUGUUGGCUUAGAAGCAGCCAUCAUUUAAAGAAAGCGUAAUAGCUCACUGGUCGAGUCGGCCUGCGCGGAAGAUGUAACGGGGCUAAACCAUGCACCGAAGCUGCGGCAGCGAACGUAUCACCCAAGACAACUUUACGGAGUUGACGAUUGACGGAGCGAAGCGACGUCAAAGCGUUCAUUAAAGUCGAGUUGGCUUAGGGAUACGUUCGUUGGGUAGGGGAGCGUUCUGUAAGCCUGUGAAGGUGUGUCGUGAGGCAUGCUGGAGGUAUCAGAAGUGCGAAUGCUGACAUAAGUAACGAUAAAGCGGGUGAAAAGCCCGCUCGCCGGAAGACCAAGGGUUCCUGUCCAACGUUAAUCGGGGCAGGGUGAGUCGACCCCUAAGGCGAGGCCGAAAGGCGUAGUCGAUGGGAAACGGGUUAAUAUUCCCGUACUUGGUGUUACUGCGAAGGGGGGACGGAGAAGGCUAUGUUGGCCGGGCGACGGUUGUCCCGGUUUAAGCGUGUAGGUGUGUGUUCCAGGUAAAUCCGGUUCACUUUAACACUGAGGCGUGACGACGAGGCACUACGGUGCUGAAGCAACAAAUGCCCUGCUUCCAGGAAAAGCCUCUAAGCAUCAGGUAACACGAAAUCGUACCCCAAACCGACACAGGUGGUCAGGUAGAGAAUACCAAGGCGCUUGAGAGAACUCGGGUGAAGGAACUAGGCAAAAUGGUGCCGUAACUUCGGGAGAAGGCACGCUGACACGUAGGUGAAGUGAUUUACUCAUGGAGCUGAAGUCAGUCGAAGAUACCAGCUGGCUGCAACUGUUUAUUAAAAACACAGCACUGUGCAAACACGAAAGUGGACGUAUACGGUGUGACGCCUGCCCGGUGCCGGAAGGUUAAUUGAUGGGGUCAGCGUAAGCGAAGCUCCUGAUCGAAGCCCCGGUAAACGGCGGCCGUAACUAUAACGGUCCUAAGGUAGCGAAAUUCCUUGUCGGGUAAGUUCCGACCUGCACGAAUGGCGUAAUGAUGGCCAGGCUGUCUCCACCCGAGACUCAGUGAAAUUGAACUCGCUGUGAAGAUGCAGUGUACCCGCGGCAAGACGGAAAGACCCCGUGAACCUUUACUAUAGCUUGACACUGAACAUUGAGCCUUGAUGUGUAGGAUAGGUGGGAGGCUUUGAAGUGUGGACGCCAGUCUGCAUGGAGCCGACCUUGAAAUACCACCCUUUAAUGUUUGAUGUUCUAACGUGGACCCGUAAUCCGGGUUGCGGACAGUGUCUGGUGGGUAGUUUGACUGGGGCGGUCUCCUCCUAAAGAGUAACGGAGGAGCACGAAGGUUGGCUAAUCCUGGUCGGACAUCAGGAGGUUAGUGCAAUGGCAUAAGCCAGCUUGACUGCGAGCGUGACGGCGCGAGCAGGUGCGAAAGCAGGUCAUAGUGAUCCGGUGGUUCUGAAUGGAAGGGCCAUCGCUCAACGGAUAAAAGGUACUCCGGGGAUAACAGGCUGAUACCGCCCAAGAGUUCAUAUCGACGGCGGUGUUUGGCACCUCGAUGUCGGCUCAUCACAUCCUGGGGCUGAAGUAGGUCCCAAGGGUAUGGCUGUUCGCCAUUUAAAGUGGUACGCGAGCUGGGUUUAGAACGUCGUGAGACAGUUCGGUCCCUAUCUGCCGUGGGCGCUGGAGAACUGAGGGGGGCUGCUCCUAGUACGAGAGGACCGGAGUGGACGCAUCACUGGUGUUCGGGUUGUCAUGCCAAUGGCACUGCCCGGUAGCUAAAUGCGGAAGAGAUAAGUGCUGAAAGCAUCUAAGCACGAAACUUGCCCCGA
RNAcentral lists this ribosomal RNA (2311 nucleotides) under Salmonella enterica subsp. enterica serovar Typhimurium. Its description in RNAcentral is "partial 23S ribosomal RNA". It matches the Rfam family "Bacterial large subunit ribosomal RNA", at positions 592 to 2802 of the family's 2925-position model. Lineage: Bacteria; Pseudomonadati; Pseudomonadota; Gammaproteobacteria; Enterobacterales; Enterobacteriaceae. The record is from RNAcentral.